GGGUUCUAUGGAGCCCCGCGGAGUGAGGACAAACAUCAUAGCUGGCGGUGUCUCCACACACUACAUGCCAUCCAACAUCAGACAUUGUUGUGUGUGGGCGAUUUCAAUGAAACUUUGUAUGGCACCGAGCACUUCAGUCGAUCACCUAGAUCAGAGAGCCAAAUGCGUGCAUUUCGAGAGGUGUUGGAUGAUUGUGCCAUGCAGGACUUGGGUUAUUCAGGUGUGCCAUACACUUGGGAUAACAGGCAGGCGGGUACUGCUAAUGUAAAAGCUAGGCUUAACCGAGGUGUAGCUAAUUCUGAAUUCUUACAACGCUUUGAGCUAGCACAUGUACGUCAUAUAAGUGCCAUAGAAUCAGAUCAUUGCUUUGUGCUUGUGGAGACUCGUGAUGCAAUUAAUAAAAGAGGACCACGACAGUUUCGUUAUGAAAGCGUGUGGCAAUCCCAUGCUGAUUAUGAUAGAAUUCUUGCAGAUUUGUGGCGACAAAAUCAUACAGGA
This 498-nucleotide ribosomal RNA is filed under the name Triticum aestivum (bread wheat). RNAcentral describes it as "partial small subunit ribosomal RNA". Lineage: Eukaryota; Viridiplantae; Streptophyta; Magnoliopsida; Poales; Poaceae. The record is from RNAcentral.